GACGAACGCUGGCGGCGUGCUUAACACAUGCAAGUCGAACGGAAAGGCUCCAGCUUGCUGGAGUGCUCGAGUGGCGAACGGGUGAGUAACACGUGGGCAAUCUGCCCUGCACUCUGGGAUAAGCCUGGGAAACUGGGUCUAAUACCGGAUAGGACCUUUCUCCUCAUGGGGUUUGGUGGAAAGUUUUUCGGUGCAGGAUGAGCCCGCGGCCUAUCAGCUUGUUGGUGGGGUAAUGGCCUACCAAGGCGACGACGGGUAGCCGGCCUGAGAGGGUGAUCGGCCACAUUGGGACUGAGAUACGGCCCAGACUCCUACGGGAGGCAGCAGUGGGGAAUAUUGCACAAUGGGCGCAAGCCUGAUGCAGCGACGCCGCGUGAGGGAUGACGGCCUUCGGGUUGUAAACCUCUUUCAGUAGGGACGAAGCGCAAGUGACGGUACCUGCAGAAGAAGCACCGGCUAACUACGUG
Molecule: ribosomal RNA, 467 nt
Filed under: uncultured bacterium
Lineage: Bacteria
Description: partial 16S ribosomal RNA
Rfam family: Bacterial small subunit ribosomal RNA
Source: RNAcentral